This 87-nucleotide transfer RNA is filed under the name Bacteroidetes bacterium ADurb.Bin041. RNAcentral's name for it is "tRNA-Leu". It matches the Rfam family "tRNA". Rfam says of the family: Transfer RNA (tRNA) molecules are approximately 80 nucleotides in length. Their secondary structure includes four short double-helical elements and three loops (D, anti-codon, and T loops). Further hydrogen bonds mediate the characteristic L-shaped molecular structure. tRNAs have two regions of fundamental functional importance: the anti-codon, which is responsible for specific mRNA codon recognition, and the 3' end, to which the tRNAs corresponding amino acid is attached (by aminoacyl-tRNA synthetases). tRNAs cope with the degeneracy of the genetic code in two manners: having more than one tRNA (with a specific anti-codon) for a particular amino acid; and 'wobble' base-pairing, i.e. permitting non-standard base-pairing at the 3rd anti-codon position. The record is from RNAcentral. Lineage: Bacteria; Pseudomonadati; Bacteroidota. RNAcentral also lists the same sequence under 3 other names.
GCCCAGAUGGUGGAAUUGGUAGACACACCAGCUUGAGGGGCUGGCGCCUUCACGGGUGUGCAAGUUCGAAUCUUGUUCUGGGCACCA